GAUGAACGCUGGCGGCGUGCCUAAUACAUGCAAGUCGAGCGAACGGACGAGAAGCUUGCUUCUCUGAUGUUAGCGGCGGACGGGUGAGUAACACGUGGAUAACCUACCUAUAAGACUGGGAUAACUUCGGGAAACCGGAGCUAAUACCGGAUAAUAUUUUGAACCGCAUGGUUCAAAAGUGAAAGACGGUCUUGCUGUCACUUAUAGAUGUAUCCGCGCUGCAUUAGCUAGUUGGUAAGGUAACGGCUUACCAAGGCAACGAUGCAUAGCCGACCUGAGAGGGUGAUCGGCCACACUGGAACUGAGACACGGUCCAGACUCCUACGGGAGGCAGCAGUAGGGAAUCUUCCGCAAUGGGCGAAAGCCUGACGGAGCAACGCCGCGUGAGUGAUGAAGGUCUUCGGAUCGUAAAACUCUGUUAUUAGGGAAGAACAUAUGUGUAAGUAACUGUGCAUAUCUUGACGGUACCUAAUCAGAAAGCCACGGCUAACUACGUG
Molecule: ribosomal RNA, 497 nt
Filed under: uncultured bacterium
Lineage: Bacteria
Description: partial 16S ribosomal RNA
Rfam family: Bacterial small subunit ribosomal RNA
Source: RNAcentral